Molecule: ribosomal RNA, 537 nt
Filed under: Triticum aestivum (bread wheat)
Lineage: Eukaryota; Viridiplantae; Streptophyta; Magnoliopsida; Poales; Poaceae
Description: partial small subunit ribosomal RNA
Source: RNAcentral
AUGCCGGGGUGCAACAAGGCCCCGAUGGCUGCGUGGAAACCUUCUCCCAAGCCGAUGUGGAAGGCGCCAGAGAAGCCUCCGGCCGCUGACCCGGCCAAAGAGGAUGAGUUGCAGGGCGCGAAGAAGGACGCGGGGGCCGCCACUGCUGUUGGCGACGACGGCGCUAGGAAGGGGAACUCGUCCCCAUUGCCUCCGCCGAGGAAGCUGCAAGAUGCGCCGGUGGUGAACCUCAACGCGUCCUGCUCCUCGGAGGCCUCUGUGGAGUCGCUCCGCGGCCAGGCCCCAGGCGGAAGGACCGAGAGGGGUUGGUCCCGGCCGACCGCGCCCAAGCGUGGGAAGGCUGCGUCUAAGGUGGUGGAGAAGCACGCCGAUGUCGCGGAGGUUGCCGCUCCGGUGACGCCGGAGGCCGUCCGAGGGAGGAGCCGGUGCGCCUGGGUGACUCCGACCACCGUUGGAGAUGCUGCUGCUAUUUGUUCAGAUUGGGGGAGGCUAGAGAGGCUUGCUUCAUGUUGUGUUUGCUACGUCAGAGAGCAGUGA